ACCCUCAACCUUUAAUGUCCUGCCCGGACCCUUGUUGGCAUUCCAUGAUGCUUGACACAGAAGGAAGCUAGAGAUGGCUAUGAGGGUUUGCUGGAACCUUACCAGAGUCAUGUCUCAUGGGCCGUAGGCCAGCCUGUUUCUAACAGAGAAUAUGUCUAUGUUGCCCCCAAGGAUGUGGCUACUUUUCUGUUCCCCAAUGAGGCCAUUGUCCAGAGACGGGAACUAGAGCAUUCCUCUGCUCUGAUUUCCAGGAACGGUGAAUGACACCGGGAGUGAUUAGCUGAAACCAAGGAGAGGUCUUUGGGCUCUACCUGCAGAAGAUUCAUCUCGAAAAAGAAAGACCUGUUUCCACAACCGUUUCUGCUUUAUACAUGCCUUUUUCAAAUGCCUUCUAUUUGGGGAAAACCUUUCAGCUUUCAGCCUUUUCCCCUCCGGGCUUCUGACCUCUCACCUACUUUGAAUGAUUCACUCAGGCUAUUCAUUGCCCUGGAAUGUUGGCUUUGGCAAGGGACCGCAAGUCUCUUAAAAUAAACACAACUGCGCUUUCAUCCCACAGAGAUCACUGCUGGCUGCAUAUUUCACACACUGUAUGGCAGGAUAUGUUAAAUUAAAAUCAUAAUCUCCCAAGUGAAAUCCAGGGCCUGGUUAAGCCACGCGAGAAUUACUCAUGCAUUUCCUUCCAAAGAAGUGUAUGAGUAAGAUCUUCAGCCAUUAAGUCUCCCAGGUAAUAGUCUCAUCCCCUCCCAACUAUCCUAGCCCACAGUAAAUGAAACCCAUCCAGAAGGAGGUCAUUCGCAAAGGAAGAAGUCAAGGCCAACACCCUGUGAAAUAGGUGGGUCCUAGAGAGGUGAGUUGGAAUUACUUUGUCAGUUCUUUCAAGCGCAUCUCGAAGUUCCCCUCCAAUCCUGCCAAGACAAUAUACCCAACCCAUAUGGAUUAAACACUCUGUUCAGCAUGAUGUUAAAUGCUCUGGGCAGUUCAAAGGAAUGUAUGACACUGAGCUUUCAGGAGCUUAAAGGGUUGUGGGUGAUCGAUAAGAUUAACAUGCCAAAAAUAGUAACAAAGGCCGGGUGCAAGGCAGUAGUGAUGGGAAGAAGCAAAGGCCUUUCUCCAAGGGGAGUCUGGGGCGUGACUUCUCCCAGCUGUGUGACGGCAGAAUAAACCUUUGGUUUCCAGAGUAUCUCGUAGGUUUCUCGCCUACGCAGUGGAGGAUAUUACACUAACCUUCCUGAGCUCACAGAGUGGUCGUCAUGACAGAUAAAGAAGAUAAAGCCGCCGUGUAUAAGACCACCCAUUAUGGCUUAUGAUAAAACAAGCGGGCCAACUUAAGAAGAAUUCAGAAUCCCUUUGAAAGCAGUCAAACCUUCAAAAUUGCCUGAGAUCAGUUCUGGUUUGCUGAAGAUUCUGUGUUCGUUACUGACCGUAUCAGCCACUGGCCAAAGAAGUAAGGUUCCUUUGCAGUUCUAAGAGCCUGGAUAUAUACUUAUUUUACAAGUAAUGAAGUGAAAGGGAAUGAGUCCAGCAUUUCCUUUCCAGCAGUCAAAAAUAGAAUAAUUGGGGAAGGGGAGGUUUAAGCAUAAUUAUCUUAAGCUCCUUUAAAUCACUUCACUCUUUGCAGAACAGCUUGAAGACAUAUCCAGGCUUGUUUGCAUGAUGCUGCUAGAAUAUUACCGUUCUUUCCUAUGAAUCCCUGAAUUCUCUCAACAUCCCCUUGCCAGGGAAACUCUAGGCAUUUAUCAGGAGUCAUCUUGUGUGAUUACCACACUCAUCUUCCUUCACUUCCACUAGCUUACGUUAGGAGACACCUGCUAACAGCCUCCAGAGUAUCUGAUACUUCCCCAGGAACAUUCCUCUCACCGUACGAUGAUUGUUUGCUCAACCUGCUGACAUCUCCAUCACACUGUGGGCUCCCUAAGGGCUGGGCUGUAUCUGUCUUGCUCCCCACUGUGCAUAAUGUCUGGCACAUAGCACAAUAAGAGCUCCAAAUAGUUUGUGAAUAAAUGGAAUGAGUGUCUUUGCCCUCUCUCCGAGGGCUUAAGUCGCUGGAGGUCAACAAUCCAGCUAUGCUAACCAAGUUUCCUUGAUUCAUCUCGGGUCACUAGCUCAAACCUAUCAAGAAAGAAACAGGCGUUUCUGUGCAGCUAACACAGAGGUGCUCACAAAUCCAUUUAUUUGUUUCACAAAUAUUUAUGGAACGCCCUCUAUGGGCCAGGCUUGUGCUAGGUGCUAGAAUAGAACCGCGAGCAAAACUAGACAAGGCCACUGCCCUCCCGGAGCAUAGAGUUUUAGGAGACAGAUGUUAACAAAUAAUUAUGCGAACGAGAAAUCAGAAAUGUGAAGUAAACUAUUAAACUUGCGAAAUUUAGACAGUUAAAUGAUGCCAAGCGUUGUGUGGAUGUAAACAUCUAGAAAUCUUUAUGUUCUAAUGGGGGGGACUGUUGUAGACUGGUACAUUCUGGAAACACCUGGAAUUGUAUGAUCAACGUAACUGUAUGCAUGCCGUAUGGUCCAGUAAUUCCCCCCAACAAAUUGUUGUAUGGGCCCAAAGGAUAUGGAUAAAUAGACAGAUACAUAUUCAUUUCAAUAUUACUUGUGGUGUUGAAGAGUUAGACACAAACUAGUGUCCAACUAGAAGGAAGAAUAGGAAAAAUCUAAGAGAUAUAUUCCAUGAAGAUACCCAAUGGUUGGAAGCUAGAUCAGAGCAAACUGUGGUUGAUGUGUGAAAUAUGGCCCACCUCCUAUUGUUUGGGAUUUUUGUAAAUAAAAUUUUAUUGCAACAUGA
Molecule: long non-coding RNA, 2782 nt
Organism: Felis catus (domestic cat)
Lineage: Eukaryota; Metazoa; Chordata; Mammalia; Carnivora; Felidae
Exons: 2
Source: RefSeq, a predicted model, not a curated record